RNAcentral lists this ribosomal RNA (465 nucleotides) under uncultured bacterium. RNAcentral's name for it is "partial 16S ribosomal RNA". It matches the Rfam family "Bacterial small subunit ribosomal RNA", at positions 28 to 507 of the family's 1533-position model. The record is from RNAcentral.
GAUGAACGCUGGCGGCGUGCUUAACACAUGCAAGUCGAACGGAAAGGCUCCUGCUUGCAGGGGUACUCGAGUGGCGAACGGGUGAGUAACACGUGGGUGAUCUGCCCUGCACUUCGGGAUAGGCCUGGGAAACUGGGUCUAAUACCGGAUAGGACCACAUUUUGGAUGGUGUGGUGGAAAGUUUUUCGGUGUGGGAUGAGCUCGCGGCCUAUCAGCUUGUUGGUGGGGUAAUGGCCUACCAAGGCGUCGACGGGUAGCCGGCCUGAGAGGGUGGACGGCCACAUUGGGACUGAGAUACGGCCCAGACUCCUACGGGAGGCAGCAGUGGGGAAUAUUGCACAAUGGGCGCAAGCUUGAUGCAGCGACGCCGCGUGGGGGAUGACGGCCUUCGGUUUGUAAACUCCUUUCGCUAGGGACGAAGCGCAAGUGACGGUACCUGGAGAAGAAGCACCGGCUAACUACGUG